AUGGUUAAAAUAUGAACAUUAUUAGCAGCAAAGAACAGUGAAUAUAAGUGUUUUACUGUGACAGUGAAGGUGGAGUUUGGAGUCUAGAGGUUGUUGAGGACGAUGUUGGCGAGAUUCAAACCUUCACAUGUGGUGUCAUCAUCAGAGAUCUUGGAAGAAAAAGACCAAGAGAACCCUGAGGUGGCAGAGAACCCAACGCUCACCCACUCCGGAAGAAGGCUCUCGAGCUCCACUCUCUGAGAGACGAUGUAGUUCGUUGGCUGAGAAGGGUAAACCAGAGAAGCCACCAAGAGCUUCGUGGAGGACUCAUAGGUGAUCUGAACCUCCGCGUUUUCUCCGUUGACCAAUUCCCACGGCGUCGUUUUCAUAGACUCGAUGGAGUUCACGUCGAUGCCAAUAUGACGGCCUUCGGGGUCCCACUCCUGGUUGACGAAGGUGUCGAACUCCACAGCCACAGUAUGGGCUUUGCUGUUGUAUUUGUCGCUGUCGAAAAGACCUAGAAAACCGCCUUGCUUUGUUGGGAACGAGAGCAAAGCCAAGGCCAUCGGCGGCUUUUGCUUUGUUGGGAGCGUGGAUAUUGAAUUUGAAGUUUGUGGUGAAGCUGGCGACUUUUCCGGUGGCGCUGUCUUAGAUUUGGAUGGGGGCGGAGUAGAAGGCGCGGCCCAGAGAGGCCACCGUGGGUUCUCCGUUGCUAUUAACAUUGGUUAGUCGUAACUGGCCGGAGGAUGAGACGGAGGCAUCGCCUUGGAGGAUAAGGUUGGUUUCGUUGAACCUAUCGAAGCUGAAGGAGGUUUCGCUGGCUGAGUUUGCGUGGCUGAGAAGCACAAGGAAGAGGCUAGGUUGAGUAAGUUGGAGGAAGCCAUGUAUGCAUUCAUGCAUUAACCAUCACUCUCUUCUCUAUUUAUACAACAACAAAUGCAAAAUCUUUCCAACUUUUUUAUUUCAUUCUAUUAUUAAAUACGUGUUUUCGAAUGAUUAACUUUUUUCUUUUAUAAUAUUAUUUGAGAGAGAAAUAAGAAUAUUAAAAUAAGAAUUAAGCAACGAUUGAUUUUACAACGAUUCAACGUUUUGCUACGAUUCUUAAUUACAAUGUGUCGAUAACUCUUUUUAAGUAUUUGGGUAUGCUGGUAGGGGGUGUCAUUGGAGAGGUGCUUUUUGAGCGGACAAAAAUUCCAAAAAUCCACCAUUUAUUAUUAAUCUUUUUUAUUAUUUAGGUAUUUUUCAGGUAUUUUAAGGUUUUAGUUCUCACAGUUACCCUAAUUAGAAAAUUCUAAUUUUUUUUUCAUGAUUUUUUAGUUAUAAAUUAGUGAUAUAUCAAAACCCUAUAAAUUAGUGAUAAUUCAUAUUUUUCGUGAAGGGAAUGCGUGUGCUAAUAAGUUGGCUAAUUUAGGAUUUAUUCAUAGAGAAUCAUUUCAUUGGUAUAAUAGACUCCCAGCUAGUCUGUUCUUAGAAUUCUUUAUGAAUAGGUAUAAUCUACCUAUUUAUCGUUUUUGUUAACAUAUGGGUUUUGGUCUAGUCCCGUCAUAUUUUUGUAUUUUCUUUCUUUUUUCUUUUUUUUUAAUAAUAUUUUUUUUAUGUGAUGACAAAUGAUUGUUGUUACUUGAGGUGUCAGCUUAGCUGAGAUGUCAAGUUGCAUAGUGAUGCCUAACACGAAAACUUUAUAUAAAAAAAAACCCUAUGGACAUAUAUAUGUCAGAUUUGUUAGAAUUUGCAUAUGGAGAUCAUUGUAAGAGCAUGACUGGAAGCAAAUAAUAAUAUUUAACUUAUUCUUUAUAAUUUUUUAACACUAAUUAAUGUGAAUCCUUUUUCCCGCCAUAGAAUAUGUGAGAAAUGGGCCACGUAUUUCCUUAAUUUCUAUAACUCUAAGAUAAAUAAUCAAUAAUAUAGGAAUUAGAUAGAUAGAUAGGAAUAUAUAUGUUAUUAGUGUUUGUAAUACAUCUUUAUCAAUGUAUAUAAUUUGAUUAUCUGAAUAUAUGUAUCAGGGCUAACUUAGUUUUAAUUGUACAAGUCAAUUUAGAUAGGAUUAACAUUAAACAGAAUGAACUAAACAAAAAAUUCUCAUUUAAAAUGGCGGCUUUUACCAUAACUGCCAUUUUAUAUCUUUCAAGAAGGUAUAAAUGACGACUUUUUAUCAUAACCGUCAUUUUAUAUCUUUAAGGAGGAUCUAAAACGGUGACUUUUUACCAUAACUGUUGUUUUAUAUCUUUUAAAAAGGUCUAAAACGACGACUUUUACCAUAAUUGCUGUUUUAGACUGAAUAUAACACAACGAUUAUAUAAUCUCUGUCUUUGCUUGAAAAGAAUAGACUAUAUGUUGAAAGACAACGCUACAAGAACCGUUGUUUUAAUACUAAAAUGAUCGUCGUGAUUUAAUUUUUUUCAUCAGUAAUUGUAAAGUUUCUUUUUAGAGUGUUGAUAAACAUAUAUCGAUUUGAAAUGAAUAGAGUUAGAAAGUAAAAAAAAAAUACAAGAAAAAUGUUAAAUAAUGUCAUAGAAAUAGAAAUGGAAGAGAAGUGUAAAGAAAUUUAAAUAAAAAUUAGAUGUGAGAGUAAGUUAGUUUAUAAAUUGAUUUGUUUAAUGAUUUAAUAACUGUAAAAAUCAAAUAAAAGUAAAUUAUAGUAAUAUGUACUAAGAUUUAAUGUAAUUACACCCAUGUUUCCUUUUUUUUUCUCUGUUAUACUUUAACUUAUAAUAAUCCUUUCCAUUAUUAUAAACUUUUUUAAAAUUACAUAUUUUUCAAAUUAUGCACUAAUAAUAUAAUAAUACACAUGCUGAAUAAUACGCAGUGUAAAUAUAUGAGCUCCUAUUUUAUUUAUGCUCCCAUUUGUGACAGAUGAAGAUUAUUAGCAGGAAAGAAGAGUGAGAGUGAGUAUAAGCAGGGUUUUACUGUCACAGUGAAGGUGGUUUUUGGAAUCUAGAGGAUCUUGUUGAGGAGGAUGUUGGCGAGAUUCGAAUCUUCAGAUGUGGUGUGACAGGAGAACUUGGAAGAAAAAGACCAAGAGAGCAGGUCGUGCGUUUCACUGGACACGUUAGAUGACCCUGAGGUGGAAGAGAACCCAACGCUCACAUUUAAUAAUAAUAUUAUGUGAUACCUCACAAUUAUUUAUCUUAUUAAUUGAUCAAUUACCAUAAUUAUCCUAUUAUAUUAUUGGUAAUUACUAUUAUCAUAAAUAAUUAGGGUUUCUUCUUGGGUGUAUUAUAAAUAGAGAUUACCAGACAACUAAAGAGACACUCUUAUAUUCUAACAUCACACGGUCGAAACUCAUUCCCUAAAGGGAUUUUCGAGCCUCUCAUCUCUUUGUCUCUCUGCUCACAUAAUUCCAUUUUAAGCGAUACACUCUAAAGGGAAACCCGAUCAAGAUCAUGUCUUCGUCCCUCAGCCAUGCGAUCACGGGUUUACCAAGUAUUAUCUAAUCAUUAUUCUCGUUUCAUUAUAUGAUUGAGGAAUCCUAAUCCAACAUGUGGUAUCAGAGUCAGGUUUAUGUUGUUUAAUCGAUUCUUCUUUUGUUUUCCCUAAAUUUGGAAGAAACGAGGAUUUUGAUUCAACCUAUUGAUUUUCGAUGUUUUUAUUUUGGUAUAUUAUUGAACCACUUAUUUUCGAAAAUCCACCUUGAUAUCAUAAAAUAAAUUUUAAUUUUUUCGAGAUCCAUAAUUAUUUUAAGAUUUUGAAAAUUAAAAUUUAAUAUUAAUGUUAUGUGUUCUUCAUAAUUUUCGUGAGUAUUCCCUUAUUUGGAAUGGAAUUAAUUUUGAUUAUAUGUUCAUCAUCAUUAUUUGUUGUUCGUAUGAAUUUUUGAAAAUUAUGAAUAAAGAAUUUUCAAAAAUUAAUUAUUCCCUUAAUUAGGAAAUUUUGAAAAUAAUAUUUUUCCUUAAUUCAAAUUUUCGAAAUACAAUUGAUUCCCUUAAUUAGGAAUGGAUUUGAUUUGAUUUGAUUGUGUUUUUCUAAAAAAAUAAAUAAAAAUUGAUAUCUUAGUCUCCACGUUUUUCCUUAUUUAGGAUAGUAUAUUCUUGCCUUAUUAAUUUUCGGGUAUUAUUAUUAUUAUUACUAUUUUCGAAAAUAGCAGUCGUGUCAAACUUGGAAACAUAUCAAUCUAAUUAAAAUUUUGAAGACCAAAUCUAAAAUCAAAUCCUUAAUAUUCCGCUACUCACUUAUCGAGUUUACGAGUAACAUAUUUACGCGUUUCCUUUUAUUUAUCGAAUUAAAUAUGGUAAAUCUCAUGAUACCGUAAUUAUGUUUUAAAAAAAAUACUUAUUUUGUUAAACUCUUAAAACAAAAAUAUUAAGUUUGACAAAAUUAAAAUUAAAUUUUUUGCUUAAACUUAAUAACAGGAGUCUCCCUUCUGUCCAACGAUGAUGGGUUAUGUCUUGUUAUUUUAGUCUAAUUAAGCACCUUCACUUACUUGUGAGUACACUUAAUUAUUAAAUAUUCGCAUGACAUUUGCCUAAAAACACAAUUAUUUCUUAUUUCUAUUCUGUCCAACGAUGUUUGAUGCACUUGUGUUUUGCAAACUUAAUAUGUGCAUAAGCUUAAAUGUUCAAUUCUGUCCAAAGAUGAUGUGUCACAUUCUUAUUGCACAUACCUUACUUAUAAUUGUUCAUUAUUCUUAAAUAAUUGGUAAUUAACCAAAGUGAAAGCUGAUUGUUUAAGUAGAACCUAAUCUAGUCUAUUAUUUUGAUGUUAUAAUAGAUUUUAUCACAGCUUCAUUAUCAUAAUGGUUCUUACUUAUGCCUGCUUUAGAUCUAAGUUUCCAAAUGUCACUCUAACUUUUUCCUUAGCCUAAGUAUCUUAAUUCGUCGUCUAACCAGCCCCUAAUAUGGAAAUUGAGACCUUGACUGGUGAAAAUCAUUCUUCUUGGAAAGAUUCCUUGAUGCUNNNNNNNNNNNNNNNNNNNNNNNNNNNNNNNNNNNNNNNNNNNNNNNNNNNNNNNNNNNNNNNNNNNNNNNNNNNNNNNNNNNNNNNNNNNNNNNNNNNNNNNNNNNNNNNNNNNNNNNNNNNNNNNNNNNNNNNNNNNNNNNNNNNNNNNNCAAUCAUUAGAGGAGGCAUUCCUGAUUCACCUAACGCUAAGGCUUAUCUAGCUUCUGUGGAGGAACAAUUUCAAGGAACCUCUAAGGCUCAUGCUAGUACUCUUAUCUUGAAGUUGGUGACUACAAAAUAUGACGGGCGCACCGGCAUUCGUGAACACAUCCUGAUGAUGAGCGACAUGGCCCGUAAACUUAAGGGAUUAGCCAUGGAGAUCAGUGAAGGUUUCCUAGUCCACUUCAUUAUGACUUCUCUUCCUUCUGCGUUUGAAGCCUUCAAAGUCAACUAUAAUACUCAGAAGGACAAAUGGUCCAUGAGUGAGUUGAUUGCUAUGACUGUUCAAGAAGAAGAGCGCCUGAAGUUGGAGAAACCAGAUGUUGCUUACCUCGUGGCUGCUGAGUCGAAGAAGCGGAAGGGCAAAUUCCAUAAAAAGGAAUCUAAUAAGGUCCCUAAAACUGAUGCAAGUGCACCCUCCAGCUCUAACAAAUUCACUAGCAAGUUCUACUGCAAGUUCUGCCGCAAGGUAGGACAUAAGCAGUCUGAGUGCUCAAGCUUUAAGGAGUGGUUGGCUAAGAAAGGUAAUCAUCUAAAUAUGAUAAUUGAGUCCUUUAAUUUAAAUGUUCCAACUAAUACUUGGUGGUUUGACUCUGGUUCUAUGGUUCAUGUGACCAAUUCAAUCCAGGGAUUCCUUACAAUCCAGAAGCUGGAAAGAAACCAAAGAACACUUAAGAUGGGGAAUGGACAAGAACUAUUUGUCGAAGCUGUCGGAAUCUUAGAAUUACUUAUGAAAACUGGAAAAUGUAUUAAACUUUAUGAUACCUUAUAUAUUCCCGAAAUUACUCAGAAUCUUGUAUUAGGACCAAAGUUAGACAUUGAUGGUUUUUAUGUUUCCCAUGGUCAUGGCAAACUUACUAUUUCUUUAAAUUCUCAAUUGUUUGGUACUGGUUUUCUGGAUAACGGUCUCUAUAAGUUAGAACUAGAUGAUAACUUCUCCAAAUCUUUGUUAUCAUAUAAUAUUAAUGAGAACUUAACAAAGACCAAGAGAAAACGAGACUUAGAAACUUCAUCCAUGUUGUGGCAUCAACGUUUAGGCCACAUUUCACGAGAUCGCUUAUCUCGACUUGUGAAGGAUGAAGUCUUACCAUCUCUCAAUUUCACUGAUUUUGGAACAUGUGUCAAAUGCCUCAAAGGCAAAAUGACAUCCACGACUAAGAAAGGCAAAAUGACAUCCACGACUAAGAAAAAAAAAUACAAGAAAAAUAUUAAAUAAUGUCAUAGAAAUAGAAAUGGAAGAGAAGUGUAAAGAAAUUUAAAUAAAAAUUAGAUGAGAGAGUAAGUUAGUUUAUAUUGAUUUCUUUAGUGAUUUAAUAACUGUAAAUAAGAAAGAGUAAAUUAUAGUAAUAUUUACUAAGAUUCAAUGAAGUUACACCAAUGUUUCCUUUUUUUAAUAUGUUAUACUUUAAUUUAUAAUAAUCCUGUCCAUUACUAUAAAAAUUUUAAAAAUUACAUAUUUUUCAAAUUAUGCACUAAUAACACGCAUAUAUGGUCAAACAGAAUAAACUAAAGCAAAAAAUUCUCAUUUAAAAUAGCGGCUUUUAUCAUAACGGUCGUUCUAUAUCUUUGAAGAUGGUAUAAAAUGAUGAGUUUUUAGCAUAACUGCCAUUUUAUAUCUUUCAGGAGGAUUUAAAACAACGAUUUUUUAGCAUAAUUGUCGUUUUAUAUCUUUAAAAAAUGCCUAAAAUGAAGACUUUUACCAUAAUCGUUAUUUUAGACUGAAUAUAACACGACGAUUAUAUAACCGUUGUCUUUACUUAAAGAGAAUGGACUUCAUGCUGAAAGACAGCGGUAUAAGAAUCGCUCAUUCAUGCUGAAAGACAGCGGUAUAAGAAUUGCUCAUUUAGUGCUGAAAUGACCGUUGUCAUUUAGCUUUUUUGCACCAAUAAUUAUAAAGUUUAUUUUUAGAGUGGUGGUGAUAAACAUAUAUCGAUGUGAGAAUAAGUUAGUUUAUAUUGAUUUGUAUAGUGAUUUAAUAACUGUAAAAGUCGAAUAAGAAAGAGUAAAUUAAAGUAAUAUUUUCUUAUGUUUAAUGUAAUUUAAACCAAUGUUUUUUUUUUCUAUGUUAUACUUUAACUUAUACUAAUCCUUUCCAUUAUUAUAAACUUUUUAAAAAUUACAUAUUUUUUAUUUUUCAAAUUAUGCACUAACAAUACGAAUAUGCAUGGUCAAUAAUACGCAGUGUAAAUUGUGUAAAUAUAUGAGCUCCCAUUUUAUUUAUUUAUUUUAGUUUGUGUGACAAAUGAACAUUAUUAGUAGCAAAGAAGAGUGAAGAGUGACUAUAAGUAGCGUUACCAUGAGACUAUGUUACUAUAUGAGACUAUGAGGUAAUAUGGCCUGAAAAAUGUUGAAGGAACUUGUCAAAGACUCAUAGACAAAGUCUUCAAGGGGAUUGGCCGGAACAUAAGGGAAAUGGUCGGAACGAUUUACGUGGACGACAAACUCAUGUGCCCAACACAUAAAGAUUUGAAAGAACUCUUUGAAGCUAUUAGGCUAUGAUGUUCAGACACUUCUCUUAAAUGAUGUGUCGGUGGUAGAUACUCAUAUCGGACACCGACAUUCGUAUGACACUUGUAGGACACGUAUUCGUGAAAUGUCCAAUUCAAAAAGUAUUUGUUGGAUUUUUGACAAUUUUAAUACAAUUCUAACAGAAUUUUAAAAAGGAAAAAUACAUUAAUUUUCUAAAAACUCAAACUUAUUGUAUAAAUUUUUAUUAUGAUUAUAAAAAUAAGAAACAAAUCAUUUUGAAGUAGUCAUGAAAAACAUUUUUUUCUCUUUUCUCCAAAAAACAAUCUGUAACAUACUUGUGUACAUAAAUCUUUAUUAUCAAUUUAUAUAAUUUAUAAUUAUAUAAUAUAUAGAUUCGUGUUUUCAUAUCCUACAUUUUAAAUAUUUAUUUUAAAUAUUUUCCGUAUCUUUACGUUUGUGUCCUUGUUUUAUCGGUGUCCGUGUUAUACAGCUCUUAAGUGAAUGAACAUGCGGCUAAAUCCUGAAAAGUUUGCGUUCAGGAAUAUAAGUUAUUGGGUUUAGGGUUUAAUCUCGAGAAAUGUAGGGCGAUAGAGAUAACAAGAUGAUCAAAAAUACAAAAAAAAGAAGAAGAGUAAAAUAGAGUAAACUCCAUUAUGUUAUUAUUUUGGAAAACUUUUCUUCAACAGUCCAAAGUUUGGAGUAAAAAACAAGCAUUUGACAGCUCCUUUUAAUAAUAUAAUAAUAUAUGAGCUCCCAUUUUAUUUUCUGUGACAGAGAAACAUUAUUAGCAGGAAAGAACACUGAGUGAAAGCAGUGUUUUAGUGUCACAGGGAAGGUGGAGUUUGGAGUCUAGAGGAUUUGGUUGAGGACCAAGUUGGCGAGAUUCAAAGCUUCAGAUGUGGUGCCAUCGGAGAGCUUGGAAGCAAAAGACCAAGAGAGGACGUCGUUCGUUUCAACGUUCCCUUUAGUAAUCCCAGUGGUGGCAGAGAACCCAACGCUCACCCACUCGGGAAGAACGCUCUUCAGGUCCACUGUGUCAGAGACGGUGAAGCUUGUUUUCAGAGAAGGGUAAACCAGAGAAGCCACCAAGAGCUUCGUGGAGGACUCAUAGGUGAUAUGAACCUCGGCGUUUUCUCCGUUGACAAAAUCCCACCGCGUCGUUUUGAUAGACUUGAUGGAGUUCACGUCGAUGCCAAUAUGACGCUCUCUGGGGUCCCAGUCCUUGUUGUAGAGGGUGUCGAACUCCACAGCCACAGUAUGGAAAUUGCUGUUGCUGCCGUCGAAAAGACCUAGAAAACCGCCUUUGUCUUUGGGCUGAGAGCCCACGGGGACGAGAGCAAAGGCAAGGCCAUCGGCGGGUCCUGCAUUGUUGGGAACCUGUAUAUUGAAUGUGAAGUUGGUGUCGAAGCUGGCGACGUUGCCGGUGGUGUAGUCCCAGAUUUGGAUGGGGGCGGAGUAGAAGGCGCGGCCCAGAGAGCCCACCGUGGGUUCUCCGUUGCUGUUAACAUUGGUUAGUCGUAACUGGCCGGAGGAUGAGACGGAGGCAUCGCCUUGAAGGAUAAGGUUGGUUUCGUUGAACCUAUCGAAGCUGAAGAAGGUUUGGCUGGCUGAGUUUGCGUGGGUGAGAAGCACAAGGAAGAGGGCUAGGGAGAGUAAGUUGGAGGAAGCCAUGUAUGCAUUCAUGCAUUAACCAUCACUCUCUUCUCUAUUUAUACAACAACAACUGCACUCUCUCUCUCUACUUUAUGGAUUCAACAAAUGCAAAAUCUUUCCAACUUUUUUAUUUCAUUCUAUUAUUAAAUACGUGUUUUCGAAUGAUUAACUUUUUUCUUUUAUAAUAUUAUUUGAGAGAGAAAUAAGAAUAUUAAAAUAAGAAUUAAGCAACGAUGGCAAUGCAUCCACGUCAUCCAAACAUUGAAAUAAUAUGAAAUAAUUACUUUAAAUUUAAAGAGAUAUUUAUGGAGAGAAGCGGUUGGCACGUAGUAGUGGGAUGUGAGACGUGUCAUAGUGUGAAAGCCACAGUGGAAAGUGACAGGAGACAUGGGUGAAGAGGAGGUAGAAAAAAUAUGAAAUAAGAAAGAGUAAAUUGUACUAAUAUUUCCAAAGGUUUAAUGUAAUUACACAAAUUUUUCCUUUUUUUUUUCUUUUUUUUCUAUGCUAUACUUUAACUUAAUAUAAUACAAAACUCUAAAAGAUAUAAUAUCUUGAAUGUACGUGAUGAUUAACUUUAGUAAAAAUCAAAAUAUUACCGUUACAAUUAAAGAUAAAAAAAGUGGUUUCAACCGGCCAGAGUUUAUUCUGGUACUUCCAAUAAUCUUAUAUGGUUAAAAAGUUGAAAUAAAAAAUAAUUUAAAUACACAUUUUUUUAUUAUUAUUUUUAUUUUUUAGUACGUCAAAAAUAAAAUAAAUAAAAUAUUUUAAAAAUUGAUAUAAGAAGGUGUUAUUAUUAUGGUAUCCUAUGUGUGUGAUUAUGUAAUAAGAUAGAAAGAGGUGGAAUUGGAAGAAGGAUGACCAUUGAAAAAAAGAUAAGAUAAGGUUUGUUUGAUGAGUGGGCAGAAUGUUGUGUUGGUGUGAAGCAGUUUGGCAGUAGCAAUGCAGGAGGAAGGACAAUCCAACGCACCAAACUGUACCACCUUCAUGAAAACUAUGCACACAAUCAAUUUCAACUAUUUUGUGGAUAUCAUUUUUCAAUUACAAUUGAAAAAAUUUGAUAGUUUUUUUUAUCAGUAAUAAAUAAAUUAAAUAAAAUAUUUUAUGAGUGUUUCAAUUCUUAUAAAAAAAUAUAUAUAAAGUUUUUUAACACUCAACCAACUGGAAAUCCAACCGAUACUGCAACAUAUCAACUAAAUUGACAUAGACAAGAAUGAAGAAAUGAAUAUUGUUGGGAAAAACGGGUAAUUUUCCCACUAAAACAAAACCCUAACAGAGCUACCCGACAAAUAAUAUUGAAUAAAUAAAGCGGAAUAAUAAAAGAGAUAAAGAGAAAAAAGACACCCGAAUAUUGUUAACGGAGUUAGCCUAAUCUCCGAGCACAGCUGAAAUAACUUGCUUUUAUUAUUAUGUGAGAAAAUAUUACAAAUUGAGAUAUCUAACAGAAGGAGGAGAGUUUAAUUUAUAACCCUCAAAACUCCUUCCCAAACAAUGAACCCAUCGAUGUGGGACUUGGGAUUAAGCCAAAAUCAACAAAUCUCCACCUUGGCUUAAUUUCAAGUCCCACCUAAAACAAAUCUUCUAAAAAACAUAACAAAAACAAACUUUGCAGUGUUUCAAAUUUGCGCCUCCGGGCGCCAACUUCAAAUGUGCAAGAUAUUAACCAAGUUUAAAUAGUGUUCAAACUUGGUCCUUGUAACCACCUUGGUGAGCAUAUCUGCAAGAUUCUCCAUAGUGUGAAUCUUCUGGAGAACAAUCUCCUCUUCUUCGAGAAUAUCACGCACAAAGUGAUAACGAACAUCAAUGUGCUUUGUCCGUGCAUGAAAGACUUGAUUCUUUGCUAAAUGAAUAACACUCUAACUGUCAGAAUAUAACUCAAGUUGUUUCUUACCAACUCCCAAGUCUUUAAGCAACCCAUGAAGCCAAAUUGCUUCCUUCACAGCCUUUGUAAUCGCCAUAUACUCUGCCUCUGUCGUAGACAAAACUACCGUAGACUGCAAGGUAGACUUCCAACUAACUGACACUUUUGCUAAAGUGAACAAAUAGCCAGUUGUAGACCGUCGCUUAUCCAAAUCACUUGCAUAAUCAGAAUCACAAUAUCCAACUAUGCAUUGACCAAGUGAUUCAUCUUGCUCAAAUGUCAAUCCAACAUCUAAGGUAUUUUGGAGGUACCGUAGAAUCCAUCUCACAGCUUGCCAAUGACCCUUGCCCAGAUUAUGCAUGUACCUGCUAACAACACUCACAGCCUAUGAAAUAUCUGGUCUUGUACACACCAUUGCAUACAUCAAGCUUCCAACUGCAUUUGCAUAUGGGACUUUCGCCAUGUAUUCUCGUUCUUCACCAGUCGUUGGAGAUAAACGGCUACUCAAUUUCAGAUGAGGAGCAAGUGGGGUACUUACAGGUUUUGUAUCUUCGUGUAUACCAAAACGUUGUAGUACCUUCNNNNNNNNNNNNNNNNNNNNNNNNNNNNNNNNNNNNNNNNNNNNNNNNNNNNNNNNNNNNNNNNNNNNNNNNNNNNNNNNNNNNNNNNNNNNNNNNNNNNNNNNNNNNNNNNNNNNNNNNNNNNNNNNNNNNNNNNNNNNNNNNNNNNNNNNNNNNNNNNNNNNNNNNNNNNNNNNNNNNNNNNNNNNNNNNNNNNNNNNNNNNNNNNNNNNNNNNNNNNNNNNNNNNNNNNNNNNNNNNNNNNNNNNNNNNNNNNNNNNNNNNNNNNNNNNNNNNNNNNNNNNNNNNNNNNNNNNNNNNNNNNNNNNNNNNNNNNNNNNNNNNNNNNNNNNNNNNNNNNNNNNNNNNNNNNNNNNNNNNNNNNNNNNNNNNNNNNNNNNNNNNNNNNNNNNNNNNNNNNNNNNNNNNNNNNNNNNNNNNNNNNNNNNNNNNNNNNNNNNNNNNNNNNNNNNNNNNNNNNNNNNNNNNNNNNNNNNNNNNNNNNNNNNNNNNNNNNNNNNNNNNNNNNNNNNNNNNNNNNNNNNNNNNNNNNNNNNNNNNNNNNNNNNNNNNNNNNNNNNNNNNNNNNNNNNNNNNNNNNNNNNNNNNNNNNNNNNNNNNNNNNNNNNNNNNNNNNNNNNNNNNNNNNNNNNNNNNNNNNNNNNNNNNNNNNNNNNNNNNNNNNNNNNNNNNNNNNNNNNNNNNNNNNNNNNNNNNNNNNNNNNNNNNNNNNNNNNNNNNNNNNNNNNNNNNNNNNNNNNNNNNNNNNNNNNNNNNNNNNNNNNNNNNNNNNNNNNNNNNNNNNNNNNNNNNNNNNNNNNNNNNNNNAUAUCCAUGAAAUGAGCAGGCUUCUGAAUAUCUCGUCUCUGUCUUCUAACUGCAAUUGGCUCUGAUUGUUGUUGAGAUUCUUGGGUAGGAACCUCUUCCUCAUCUGACUCUUCUUCUGCCAUAGGAGAGUCACUUGUGGUAUUUCGUGUUGGGAUCACCACUGUCGGCUCAAACUCCACCUGUUGCGGAGUACUAUCAGCUCCUUCUGGAUUUACUUUCUUUAACAUGGCAGAUUCAUCAAAGGUAACAUCCCUGCUGAUAAUCGUCUUCUUUGCCUCUAGACACCACAAACGGUAUCCCUUCACUCCAGGACUAAAGCCCAUGAAAAGAGCUUUCAUUGCCCGUGGAUCCAACUUUGAUUCAAUCACAUGAUAAUAUGCAAUAGAACCAAAAACAUGCAAAGAAUCAUAAUUAGUUGCAGGUUUUCCAAACCAUACCUCUAGCGAGGUUUUGCCAUCUAUAGCAGAAGAUGGCAAACGAUUGAUGAGAUGUUGAGCGUAUGUCACAGCCUCAACCCAAAACUCUUUGUCUAACUCAGCAUUAGACAACAUACAACGAACUUUCUCCACAAGUGUCUUGUUCAUACGCUCCGACACCCCAUUAUGUUGUGGUGUUUUUCUAACAGUGAAGUGUCGAACUAUGCCACAAUCUUGACAUACCUUCAAGAACGGAUCACUCUUGUAUUCUCCUCCAUUGUCUGUUCGGAGAACCUUAAUCUUCCUUCCUGUCUGGUUUUCAACUUGAGCUUUCCACUUAAGGAAAAUUUCAAGCACAUCAUUUUUGUUCUUCAUAGUAAACACCCAAACUCUCAUGGAAAAAUCAUCCACAAAAGUGACNNNNNNNNNNNNNNNNNNNNNNNNNNNNNNNNNNNNNNNNNNNNNNNNNNNNNNNNNNNNNNNNNNNNNNNNNNNNNNNNNNNNNNNNNNNNNNNNNNNNNNNNNNNNNNNNNNNNNNNNNNNNNNNNNNNNNNNNNNNNNNNNNNNNNNNNNNNNNNNNNNNNNNNNNNNNNNNNNNNNNNNNNNNNNNNNNNNNNNNNNNNNNNNNNNNNNNNNNNNNNNNNNNNNNNNNNNNNNNNNNNNNNNNNNNNNNNNNNNNNNNNNNNNNNNNNNNNNNNNNNNNNNNNNNNNNNNNNNNNNNNNNNNNNNNNNNNNNNNNNNNNNNNNNNNNNNNNNNNNNNNNNNNNNNNNNNNNNNNNNNNNNNNNNNNNNNNNNNNNNNNNNNNNNNNNNNNNNNNNNNNNNNNNNNNNNNNNNNNNNNNNNNNNNNNNNNNNNNNNNNNNNNNNNNNNNNNNNNNNNNNNNNNNNNNNNNNNNNNNNNNNNNNNNNNNNNNNNNNNNNNNNNNNNNNNNNNNNNNNNNNNNNNNNNNNNNNNNNNNNNNNNNNNNNNNNNNNNNNNNNNNNNNNNNCAUCGAGUUCUUGAAAUUCAAAGAACCAUUCCUGAAUGGGACACAUAUGAUAGGUACAACCUGAAUCCAAUAUCCACUCAUCUGGAUACGAUGAUGCUGAAAGCGAGACAAUUAAAGAGAUAUCUGAUUCCACACCAUUUUUGCAUUCUGCAACAUUUGCAUCUUGUGGAGCCUUCCCUUUCUUCUGCAGUUUUGGAUAGUCUUUCUUCCAAUGUCCUUUCUCAUGACAGAAAGCACACUCAUCUUUGGCAACGGCUCGACCUUUAGACUUAGACCUCCCUCUUCUCCCCUUUGUUUGGCUUUGCUGACGACCUCUUGCCACCAAUGCUUCUUCUGAUGUCGUUGAUUUGGUUUUCAUCUUAUCCUGCUUUCUCAAUUCAUGACUAUAUAAAGAAGAACAAACAACAUCUAACGACACAUUCUCCUUCCCGUGAAGGAGUGUAGUCUCAAAAUGUUCAAAUUCAUCAGGAAGAUAUGAUAACAACAUCAAAGUCAAAUCUUCAUCGUCAAACUUCACAUCUAAAUUCAACAGGUCUGCUACUAAUUGAUUAAACAUAGUGAUGUGCAUUCAUAGUAGUACCUUGUUGGUAGUCAAAUUGGAACAACCUUUUCUUCAUCAGGAGCUUGUUUUGACCACUCUUCUUCAGAAACUUGUUCCUUCCACAGUUUGUGUGCAGAAGUCUCGUUUUUUACAGCAUACUUCUGCUCUUUGGACAGGUAGGAUCGAAUAGUUCUGCAUGCCAACUGGUUGAUGAUGCUCUAGUCUUUCUCCUCUACCUCUUCUGGUUUCUCUCAUUCAAUAACAAUAUCAUUUCCCUGUUGAAAAAGAGAGUCCAAGACCUCUCCUUGCCACAUGCCAAAAUGUCCAGUGCCAUCAAAUAUUUCCACCGCCAAUUUCAAAGUGGACACCGGGAACCUCGACCAUGAUGACGAGGAGCCCGACACUCUGGAUACACCAUUCACUUCUUCUUCUUGAUUUGCCAUUACAAACUCAAAAUAUAAUAUUCAAUAUUACAAAUAAUUUCAAACAACCCAAGGCGAACCUUCGGCUCUUGAUACCACUUGUUGGGAAAAACGGGUAAUUUUCCCACUAAAACAAAACCCUAACAGAGCUACCCGACAAAUAAUAUUGAAUGAAUAAAGCGGAAUAAUAAAAGAGAUAAAGAGGAAAAAACACACCCAGAAAUUGUUAACGGAGUUCGGCCUGUUUAGCCUAAUCUCCGAGCACAACUGAAAUAACCCGCUUUUAUUAUUAUGGGAGAAGAUAUUACAAAUUGGGAUAUCUAACAGAAGGAGGAGAGUUUAAUUUAUAACCCUCAAAACUCCUUCCCAAAAUAUGAACCCACCGAUGUGGAACUUGUGAUUAAGCCAAAAUCAACAAAUACAACAGAAUACGAUUACUUUAAUCCUUAAAAAAAAUCACAUUCUCAUAAAAAGAUAAAAUAUUCUAACAAUUAAACAAAAUAUCAUUUUUAUUAUAUCACUCAUACUUUAAAAAUGGUUUCCUAAGUAAUUUAUAGGUCUUACAUUAAGGAAUUUAUAAUUACUUACACGUUAAUGAGUCAAUAAUUAAGUUAAACUUAUGUAAUGUCUAGGUGUUUGAUUUAAUUUAUUCUAUUAAUAUUUUUGUAUUUUUUUUUCUUUUGAUCCUAAUUUGAAAGUCGUAGAAAAACAAUACAUACAAUAUUUUCAUAUUUUUACUUAUGAAUUAUAAAUAAAAGAAACAUACUUUUUUUAUUCUGAUGUUUUCUUUACAGAACUUUUUAGACCAAUUAAGAAAAGAGUGUGUAUGUGAAAAGAUGAUUUAUGAAUUUUGAUAGACACUUGAUGGUUAUGUGAAAUGUUUGAGAAAUUGUAUGAGAGUUUAUGAAUUUUGUGUAUCAAUUUGAAAUUUAAAUUAUAUAGACCAUUUUGUUAUAACUAGCUUACCCUGUUAUUUGUUUGUGUUUGUUUCUUUAUCUGUGAUGAUCGUGUUGUACACGGGAGCAUAUGAGAUUGCAAGUAAUAGAGCUCCUAAAUGAACAGCCGGAGGAUGUGAUAGUUUUAAUUUGAAUGCUCUCUUUGUUUUUAUAAAUUUUUUUAUGUAUAUAUUAAAAUCCCUACGAAAAGAGAUAAUUUUUUUAGAUACAAUUAUGAGAUAUUUAUAUAUAUUCAUAUGUUAAGUAGAUAGUGUUUGUUUUACUUUUAUUUUAUUAUAUAUGAAUAAAAAUUAUGAAUGUUACAUCUAACAUAUGAUUUACCGAAAUAAACUGAAGUUAAUUAAAUUAAAUUAGUUUCCCGUAUAUUUUGCUUUUCAAGCAAAAUACUAAGAAGAAAAUGAUGUCUUAACUUAUUUUCUGAAAACCUAAUUCAAAAAUUAAACACAUAAACCUAAACUAAGAGAUAUUCAUAUUUUCUGAUCGGAUUAUAGUUUCGAUAGAAAAAUCCAAUAUAUGCUAACAAAACAAAACACAAGGAGUUUGAGAUCUAAAAAAACCUUAUACUCAAAUCAAAAUUGGAUGAGUUCAAAUUCAUUAAAACUUUAUUAUCUUCUUCGUCUCGCACUUUAAAAGAAGAAUAAAAAAAGAAAAAUCACCUAUAAAAUAUAUAUAUAUAUAUAUAUAUAUAUAUAAUUCGAGUCUAAUCAACUAUGAUAUUAUUUGAGGGAGUAAUAAGAAUAAAAAAAAUAACAAUUAAACAACGAUGACAAUGCAUCCACGUUGAGACAAAGGUGUCAUAGCCACCACCACAGUACAGAGAUAUAGCAAGUUGAGACAAAGGUACUGAUAGAAUUUAGGUGAGAGAUGUCUUUUCAUUUGAGGAAGACAACACCAGGAACAUGUUUUUCCCUUAACACAGAAAUUCACAUUUAGUUUGAAUUUUAGUUGUUAUCAAAAGAUAUUUACAAAGGAUUAUUCAACACUUAAAUAAAAAUUCAAUAUUUAAAUAUAAUAAUAAUGUAAAAAUGUCUAUUUAUAAUACAUGAUUAAUCAUUUCAUUUCAAAUUUUGAUUAAAACAUGUAUCAUAAUAUAUUAUUUAAUUUCUAUAUGAUUUAAGUAUCAUUAAUAUACAUUUUAACUAAUAUAUAUCUUUAAUACGUCAUUAAAUUAUAGUGUGGAAAUGGGUUUAUUCGAAUGUGAUAUGGUAGAAGAGAAAAGAAGUUUUCAUCUAUCAAACUUUUCUGAUUCCACGAGAACAACCUUCUCAGCUGCUGCUUGGGUAAAGGGGCAACGUGCUUUUCUACAAUUACUUUAAGCUAUUUACAAUUCAAUAUAUAAUCUAACCAAUUUUUAAGAAAAUGGGGGCAAUAUUCUUACUUUUUAUAAAACAUUAUGAUAUUUUUUAAAAGUAUUUCGAAUACGAAGAAAUCAUAUUAAUAUAUACGAUUGAUAUAGUACUUUUUUAUUCAAAGUGAUUUGUGGGAUUUGAAUCAUCAGAAUUAAAUAUGAUUAGAAAAUGAAAAGAAAAGAUUCAAAUUAAAAGGAACCAGAUACUGAUUUAUAAUAUAUAACACUCUAAAACUAAAAAUCACUUUUUCUAGUCUAGUUGUAUAUUAUGGUAAGGAAACAUCUCUCUUUCCUAUAACACAAUUGAAAAAAUUUCAUAGCAUUUCAUUAAAUGUUAUAAAAAGUAGUACCUAAAUUGUAUAAGAGAAGAACACACACAACACUGAAUUAAAAAUUUGUGACUCUUGAAAGAAACCAUUUCCACGUAUGCAAAAACAACGAAUGAAGUGUGUAAUAGUUUUUCUUACUUUUCUAGUCAAAGUAGCAUAGUUUAAAUCUUUUUUGUAAAUGUGAUGAGACAUGCAAAGUGGUACUUAAAAGGCUAAACCUAAGUUUAAUUAGAAAUUUCCAUUUCUAAUUAAACUUAGGACCGGCCCAAUUUGACCCUAGAUGAGCGUAAGUUCUAGAUGAAUUAGCACAUGGAAGCAUUCUAGAAUCUUACCUCACAUGGGCUGAAAAUAGGCGCCACUUUUCACAUGUGCCAACACUUUGAAUUUGGCUCUCAUUUCAUUUGUAUUUGGCUCUUCAAAUUCCAGCCCUCCAAGCCUAUAUAAGGAGGUGCUUGGUUCAUGUUUUCACAAGAUUAUUUUGAGUAAUGAAAUGUUGCCAAAUUGUGUUAUUCUUACUCCCUUGCCUACAAUCUCUUAGAAUUUAGGUCUUAAUCUUCCAAAACUGCACCUCAAAGAGAGUUGGCCGAACCUCUCUCACUUUCACACUCUUCAUGCACCUCUAAGGCUUACACAACUCCUAGGAGAGCCUUAUUUCACCUCAAUCCAUGAAUGCUUCCGCCAAAACCACCACAAAAACCGCAAGAUGAAGAGCUCAAAGCCAUCAUUUGGUAUCUAGAGCUAUGGUCUUCAAGAGAUAAGUGUCUCUUUUCAUUUUUCUGUUUGAGUUCUUCUUAUUUUCAUGUUGUUCAUCUCUUGUUCAUGUUGUCUUGCUGUUUUUACAUUUUUAAUUUGAUUUAGAUGUUGUUCUAAGCAUUUCAAUCGGUAGAAAUUGUUCAAAUUGUUCUUGAGCACCUUAUUUUCAAUUUUUGUGUAGGAAUCUAUGGUGAAUUGUGUUGCUGUUUUGAUUUUAGGUUACUUGAGUCUUGUUUGAAUUUUUGUUCGGUGCAUUAUGAUGUUCUUGAGUCAUUUUAUUUUCUGAAUCUAUAUGUUUUGCCUAGUCAUGUAAUUCCUAGAAUGUCAACAAACCUUAGUAGUACUUUUCUUGAUUCAUUUGUUUCUUGUUUUGAUUUGAGUGUUUAAUUUGAAUUCUGACUUGAUUUGUUCCUUUGGUGCAUUUUUCCUUUUAGUUUGAGUUCAUAUUGUAUGAUAGAUCCAUACAAAUUCAUAUAACUUUCACUCCAUUGUGUUUUUGAAGUUUCUCUUUCUAUUUUUAAUUCCAGAAAUAGGAUUCCUCUGUUUUUACAAAUACUAUACUGGCUAUUUUGUGUUAUGAAAAUUAAAUACGUUAAAAGAAAAUUCUGAGAUUCUAGAUUUCAGUGGUUUGAUGUGUUAGAAAAAGAAGAAAAAAAGAAUCAGUCGAAAAGACAAAAUAGAAAAAAAAAAGAUAAAUCACACAAAAAAAUGUUCAUUCUGGCGCUAAAAUUGACUGUAAUUGGACAGUGAUUUUGAAAAAUUUAUCACAAUUAAUUGGUGCAUGUUUUUGGUGUGAUUCCAGCGCCAAAAGUUUGCUAAGAGAUUGAAUCGUUUUUGGUUAAAUUUUCAGAAGCAAAUUCAAAAUAGCCAACUCAACAUAAAUAUUUUAAGUCAUGCUUUAUGAACCUUAAUUUUCCAGUAGUGUUGUUUUGGUUUUUCAAAUCAAUUCUAGUGCCCAUCUUUAGGUUCCUUUUGUGUGUCAACCUUUGUUAAGUGCCUAUUUUUUUUAUUUGCUUGUCCAAUAUCAUUAUGAACUCCUUCUAAGUUGUGUCAUAUCAUUAAUUCCUGUUUUUGUGGUACUUUUCAAAUUUAAUUUGUUUCUUGCUUUAUUUUCUUGACCUCUAAAAUUGUUGGUGGAAGAAUUUCAAUUGGUGCUUGCUAAGUGGAAAUUGACUUUGUGGUAAGUCUAGCUCUACUUAGUAGGUACUGUUUUGAAGAAUUUAAUUGCUUAAAUCAUAAGAGGUUAAGGCAAGGAGCAACAACAUACACAAAUACCAAAAACCAUACACUUUGAAGAGCACAACAAAGAAGAGCAAGAACAAGCCAAAGGAGUGCAUAGCUUAGAAAGCUGAAAUUAAAUUUGUGCAAUUCAAUUCCUUUUCAUUUCUUAAGUUGUAAUUACAUUUCACUUUUGCUAAUUAGUGGUUAGACGGUGAGUGUGUCUUCAAAUGCUCAAAGUGUCUAAGAAGCCUCACUUAGGAAGCGACUAGUUUAAAGCUUUGUAGAUUAACAAUUUCUAAUUGUGUUAGCUAGAUUGUUUUACGUUAAUCCUUGUUUAGCUUUGCUUAAAAUUGCUUACGUUUAUCUUUUGUUUAAGCUUUGAUUAAUUGCUUUAUUUGUUAAAUAGCUUUGCAUUGUUUUUCCUUGCAUAAAAUUUGAUUUUUCAUUCCUCAUUAUGUUCUAAGUAAUUUACUUAGAAAAAGAAUUGUGUGAAGUUUUUUAGGGAUAGUUUUUGACUAAGGCAAGACUUGGUACUUAAGAAGUCCUUAGUGACUCACCUCUCUUACCUGGAAAGCUACCUUCACUAACUUUCCUCUUCUUUCUUGAAGUAAAACACUUUUAAACACAAAGUUUUAGUCAUGUCUUCUCACUCCUCUAAAUCUAAUGAAAGUGAUAUGAAGUCCAUUAAAUCUCUUUUAAAACAACUUGCCAAGGACUUUCAAUUACUUUCAUAUAGACAAUUGGAGAAUGAUGCCAAAAUUAAUUAAUUGACUAAAGCAAAGGAUGAGAAUUCUCAAAAAUAAAAAUAAAAAAUACAUUCUCAUGCAUCUAGUUCCAAAGAUCAUGAUUCUCUUGGGGAGGGAAACCUUAGGAUUAAUGAGUUAUCAACCACCUCCUAGGAGAAAUAGAAGAAGAGAACAAGAUAGCCCAAGAGAGGUUAGGGUAGACCUACUCCAUUUUCAUGGAAAAGAAGAUGUAGAAGUAUACCUAGAUUGGGAAGAUCUUUCUCCAGCUCCACUUUGGCAGAGAAGCACAAGGAAGAGGUCUAGGGAGAGUAACUUGAAGGAAGCCAUGAUCAUGCAUUCAUGCAUUAACCAUCACUCUCUUCUCUAUUUAUACAACAACAAAUUCAAAAUCUUUCCAACUUUUUUCUUUCAUUUUAUUAUUCAACACCAAAUUAACAAUUAUUAAACAACGAUGCCAAUGCAUCCACGUCAUCAAAAAAGUAUAUGAAAUAAUUAGUUUAAAUUUAAAUACAUAUUUAUGGAGAGAAGCGGUUUGGCAGGUAGCAAUGGGAAGUGAGAGGAGGUGCUGAGGUGGCCGUGUGCAUGGCCAGUAGUGUCAUAAUGAGAAGAGGUGGGAGCUGAGGUGGCAGCAUGCAUGGCCCAGUGAUGUCAUGUGGGGAAUCAAAAAUUCUAAUUUCAUUUUCCCUUUUUUAUUUAAUGGUAUAUAUUAUAAAAUUUUAUAUUCACCGUAUUAUUCUUAUUUUUUUACUUUGUUGUAAACUACGAUGACUAUAUUAUACUACGUACAUGAGUAAAUGAUCACACAGGUAUGAGAGGAUCUUGAGAAUUUUAAAAUGUUUUCUUAAAAUUAAUAUUUUUUAAAUAUUUGUAUUUCUGUAAGUUUUAAUUAUGUAUUAGGAAUAUUUUUAAAAAUUUUAAGUUUUUACAAAAAUAUGUAUAACAUGUAUUAUUAUAAUUAGAUUUAUUUUUGUGUGUUAUAUUUAAUGUUAUCAAAGCAUUUCAUCUUUAUGAUAAUCUGACGGUAGUGAGUUUAUUGUGUUCUUCGUGUGUCUAAAUUUUUUGUUUAAUUCUAACUUCAAGACCUUGUUAAAAGUUUCUAAUAAUAUGUUUAAUAAAAUUGUUUUCUUGAAAUCUUGUUUGAGUGGUGAGGAUACACACUAAUGACUAUAGAAAACCUAAUUAGAAUUAUUAUAUUAAAAGUUUAAGUCUCUUAUAUUAUUAUUACAAUUACAACUAAAACUUAAUUAAUUCCGAAAAGAUCAGAAACAAGAAACAAAGAGAUAAGGACAUUUUUUUUAAUCUUUUUUCUUCCUUACCUUCCUUAAUCUCAAAUGAAACAUAAAUUUGUUUUGUUAACUGUUGUCCUCUUUUUCUGGUGAUGAGGAAAUAACACAUUUUCUAUUGAAGGAUCCUAAUUUCUCUUACAAUGAAUUUCUUUAUUUAAUAAGAAAAAAAUAUGAAAAGGUUUUUUUCUGUGUGUUUAUCAGGGACAUUGAAGCAUUUACUGGUAUAAAUUUGCAUCUUUUUAAAAUUGUUGAUUAUAUUAAUGGUGCCAUGAAUGAAAUUCACUUUGAGGGAUAUCAUGAGAGAUGAAGUGUAAAUCUGAAUAAUAGUCUAAAGUUGUGUUUUAUUAGUCAAGGAGACAAGCUGAAUUAAUUUAACUGAACCAUAAAAAUAAGUCAAUAUGAUUAGGACUAAUCAAAAUUUCAAUUCAAUGCUUUGAUAAAACGAAUAUCAAAGUUCAUUUAUGUUAUGAUUGAAUUUAAUUAUGACUUUGAACAAAAAUAAAAGUUUGUAUACAAGGUAUUGGUUUGAAUGAUGAAUUUGAAAGAGAAUUUAUUCACAAUUCAACAAAUCAAAGUGGAGUUUCAAAAGAAAGUUAAUUGGAAAAAAAGUUUAAAGUGAAGAAGUGUGAUUGAACGUAACAAGUAAAACUCUAUGAAUGUAAAACGAUCAAAAGUGAAUGCUUAAAGUAAAAGAAAGGAUUCAAAUCGAUAAAAGAAAUAUUGUAAACGUUCGAUGUUGUAAGCAACUGCUUUUUGAAAAGCAAUUCCAAAUUGGAAAAGAUUUAUUUUACAUCAUAAAGUAAAAACAUAACACUAAAUUAUAAUAUUUAAAAUUAAAAAAUAAAUUAAAUAUGAUUAAAAUAUUAUUUUAUUAGUUUGUGAAGUAUAUGUUUUUUUUACUAUUUGUGGUAUUAACAUAUCACCGCCCUUUUAAAUUCAAAAAUAGAAAAAUCAUUUAAAAGUUUCCAUCAUUUUAAAUAAAAUAAAAUAAGAUUCACUAAAAAAAAACCUGAGAAAAGAAAGGUAGUAUAACCAUAUUUGUAUUACAACUAAUUUUGUUGUUCUGCUAGAUGAACGAAAUAAAUUACCCAGUUGAUGAUUAAGGAAAAAAAUUUAUGAUCAAUUUAAGAUAUUAUUCAUUUUCAUUUUGAAGUUUUUAAAUUUCAUUACAACUUUAUCUUAAAAAACAUAUCGAUAAAUUAAAGAAAGAAUAUUUAAAAUGAAUUUCAACUAGACUUCUAAACAAUGAACUUUUUUAUAAAAAUAUACAAAACCAAAGUCUAAAACAAUGAUGAUCCAUAAAGGCAUACAUUUUAUGAAAAUAAUAUAAAUUUAAAUAUUAAAUUAUGAAUUUUAUGAUGUCGUCCUGCAAAACAUUGUAGCUUUAUAAAUAUUAGUAAACUGUAUAAUAUUAUUACACUGUAUUAAAGUCUUCAAAGUAUAUAAUUAAAUAAAUACUUCUAAAAUGAAAGUCCAUUUACUUUAAAUCAUACCAAUAAACACACAUAAAAACAUGCAAAUAUACUAAUAAAAAUUAUCUUCAUGCAAAUAACAAGAUUAUGUAUAUAAAUGUAAAUUAACUUAUUUAGUCACACAAUUAUGUCAUGACUAAAUGAAAAGUCAUUUGGAAGACUCUAAAAUAUAAUAAACAAAUCUUACUAGAAACUAAUAUUUGGCAUACAUUAGAAUAAGGUUAAAGUUUUUAAUGUUAGAGUGACAUAAAACAUCUACUAUCAAACUAUAUAUGUAUAUCUACUAUGAAGUUUGAUUUAAAUCUCAUUUAAAUUUUCACAAUCUGUCUAUGUGAUUGAAUAACAAUAAAGUCAUGAUACUUCUUGUUUAUGACCAUCACCCAAGGUAUGAUACCACCCUGAGUAUCCCUACACCGCCCUUUAAGGGUCAUGCACCAACCUAGGAAGUGUCACCAUAUCUAGAGUCAAAUUUUAUAUACAUAUAUACCACUUUAUAUACAUACAAACACAAACAAACAAACAAACACGAAGGAUCAAUAAAAAAUGGUAUACAUCAUACAUACAUUAUAUCAUUCAUCUCGACACCAAUUAUAUAUUUAUCCAGAGCAUAUAAAAUCAAUCUCACAUUUUAUACAUUAUACAUACCAUGUAUAAAGACAUAUAACAUAUAUAAAAUAUUCAAUCAUGACAUAACAUCAUCACCAUCACAGUAAACUGUCACUUGAGCGAAAUGCAACAAAAAUGCAACACCCUCUCAGGGCUAUUCUCGCUUGAGGGACCACCUCAUCGCUCAAGCAUUAGUCACACUUGAGUAACAUCCACUAUUAAGUUUUAGAGAAUCCUUCCACUGCUUUUGGUAGCUUGAGCACCCAAGAGCUUGAGUGCUCAAACUAGCAUUGGAGCACCCAACGAUCGUGCUAAGCACUAAUAUGUCCAUGACACGAAUGCACCACCUCAGCCAUGGUUAAGUAUCCACCACAAUCCUCAAGCCAAAAAAGCUUAAGUUCCUUCUCCAACACUUGAGUGACUGAUAGUUGUCAUUUUGUUGCCAAAUUAAAAUGGUUCCAGUGUAGACUUGUUUAACGCUAAAGAAAUGAAAUGAUAGUAUACAAGUGGUCAGAUGAUCUCAAAUAAUAAAAUCAGUAAAUAAAUGUUUAGAAUCUAUAUGUAAGUAAUAAAAUUUAGCACUAACAAUAUAAAGAUAAAAAAGGGGUCGAGAUAGUUGUGCAAAAAAUAUAAAAGAGAUUAAAAUAACAAUUAAAACGCGGUUGAUCCUCAAGUUCUUCCACCAUUGAAUUCUUCAUAGGUUCUCUAAAGAUUAAUCAUUUUUCAAUCCUCCAACAGAGCUAAACCAAAUUGAACAUGCGCCAGUCUAAUUCAACUGAAACUCACCAGUAAAACAUGCGUCUACUGAUUUAAUCAAUACUCACUUUGUUCCAUGCGUAUACUCUAUGAGAAUGUUUAUCUCAUCUUUCUUGAAUCAUGUGUCCAAGAAAUUAAUUAGAACAAUGUGAACUAACUAAGAAACUAAAAUUUAAGAUAAGGAAGACUCUCAAUAACGCGUUCAAGUACAACCUCUCAUAAAAAUCAGUUUUCCAAGAUAUUAGAAUAUUAAAACAAUUGCUAUAAAGAAUUAAAAAUCGAAACUUUUAUUGAAAAAAACCUCAAAACUCAAUGGGAAAUUAUAAAAGAAUCAACCAAAAAAGUUUAGCCUCCCAUGUGGAGGCAAAACAAAAUAAUUACAAGAAAAAAGAAACUAAGAAAAUGCUAUGAAACUCCCCCCUUUCUCCUUGAUGCUUGUCUCCUUUUAUAGGGCUUUAUGCUCCAAGGAUCUUGGAAAAAUAUUGUAGUUUAGAUUUUGUUAACAAUUUCAAAGUUUUUGACUUUCCAAAGUUCUUGUAUUUUUGCAGAAGAUUUGCUUCCAAUUCUGUUUAUGAGAUAUUGUAACUUUUAUUUUCUCUUUAUUCUUCUUAGAAUUUGUUUUCUGUUUUGAUUGAAAAAGUAACUUGAACUUUUGCAUAUUUGGUCCAUUCACUAAGGUAGACUCUUCCUUCAGACCAUUUACUCUAAAAACACAAAAUAAACAAAAAUAAUAGUUAAAGCCCAAAUAAACUUAAUUAUAUGAAUAUUAAUUAAAACAAUUGAUUUAUUUAUUAUUAUAGUCCAAUAAUCCAUGAUUAAAGUUAUUGAGUGUGAAUAAAUAUAUGUUCAUCAGUGAUAUACUUUUAGAGAAGAGAAUUGACUCAACAUCUAUGUCACUUGAACAACAAGCCACAACUUGAACUAUAUAAUAUGUCACUUGGAUAACCAACACAUUUCCUAAGUGAUAUAAGACAAUAAGUGUAAUGAUUACAUAACUUAGGUCUCUCUUGAGUGUCAAGUGAUCGUAAAGCAACCCCAAAGGGCUCAAACAAAGGAUUUCUCAAAGAUUUCCAAAUUGUAUGUGGAUUCUUACUUUCCCAUGUUCAUCAAAGAGUUAUUUUAAGACUUAUAUCCAACAAUGUAUCAUCACAACAACUCUUCUAACAUGCAUAUAUUUUACAUACUAUCAACCCCCAUAUAUUACAUACAACUAACAACUAUCAUAUUGUAAAAAAAUGACAUAGUAACUCCCCUUGUCUAGAUUGAAGUAUGCUCUCAUAAUAACCAAUACUUGAUAAAUUUUUCUAAGACUCUAAUGAAUCUAGAGAAGUUCUCAAAACAUCAUUUAUAUGAGCAAACAUUUCCUCUAAAUCAUUCAUACAAGUAAAGAAGAAGAGAAGACAAAAAGAUAAGAAAACUCAUAUAUGAUUGAGGUUACUUACCAAAACUAACUUCUCAUCAAUCCAAAACAAUUAAUACCUUACUAACUCCACAAACCUCAAUCUAGUAAAGAAUCUAUAAUUAAAAACUCAAUCUACUGGUUUAAUUAGUACCCACUUUGUUCCAUGCGUAUACUUCAUGGGAAUGCUUACCUCCCCUCUCUUGAAUCAUGUGCCCAAAAAAUUAAUUAGAACAAUGCAAACUAACUAAGAAAUCAAAGUUUAAGAUAAGGAAGAUUCUCAAUCAUGCGUUCAAGUACAACCUCUCAAAAAAUUAGUUUUCCAGGAGAUUAGACUAUUAAAACAACUGGUAUAGAGGAUUAAAAAUCGAAACUUUUAUUGAACAAAACCUCAUAACUCAAUGGGGAAUUCCAAAAGAAUCAACCAAAAAGGUUUAGCCUUCCAUGCGGAGGCAAAACAAAAGAAUUACAAAGAAGAAAAAGAAACUAAGAAAAUCCUAUGAAGCUCUCUCUUUUCUCCUUGUGUCCUUUUAUAGGCUUUUCUGUUCCAAGGAUCUUGGGAAAAUAUUAUAGUUUAUAUUUUGUUAACAAUUUCCAAGUUUCCAGAUUUCUUAUAUUUUGCAGAAAAUUUGCUUCCAAUUCUGUUUCUAAGAUAUUGUAGAUUUUAUUUUCUCUUUCUUCUCGGAAUUUGUUUCUUGUUUUGGUUCAAUAAAAAAUUUGGACUUUUAUAUAUUUGACCCAUUCACAAAGGUAGAUGCUUCUUCCGGAUAAUUUACUCUAAAAACACAAAAUUACCAAUAAUAAUAGUUAAGACCCAAAUAAACCCAAUUAUAAACUAUGAAUUUAUUUAUUAUUAUAGUCCAAUAAUCCAUAAUUAAAGUUAUUGAGUGUGAAUAAAUAUAUGCUCAUGAGUAAUACAUUUUUAUCUAUGUAUAUAAUUUGAUCAUCUAAAUAUAUGUAUCUUGGUUGGCUGGGUUUUAAUUGUACAAGUCAAUUUAGAUGGGAUUAUCAUUAAACAGAAUGAACUAAAAAAAAUUCUCAUUUAAAAUGGCGGCUUUUACCAUAACUGUAGUUUUAUAUCUUUCAAGAGGGUAUAAAAUGACGACUUUUUACCAUAAUUGCCGUUUUAUAUCUUUCAAAAAGAUCUAAAACGACGACUUUUACCAUAACCGCGGUUUUAGACUGAAUAUAACACAACGAUUAUAUAGCCGUUGUCUUUGCUUAAAGAUAAUAGACUACAUGUUGAAAGACAACGAUAGAAGAACCGUUAUUUUAAUACUAAAAUGACCGUCGUGAUUUAACUUUUUUGUAUCAGUAAUUAUAAAGUUUUUUUUAGAGUGGUGGUGAUAAACAUAUAUCGAUUUGAAAUUAAUAGAGUUAGAAAGCAAGAAAAAAAAAUACAUGAAAAAUGUUAAAUAAUGUCAUAGAAAUAGAAAUGGAAGAGAAGUGUAAAGAAAUUUAAAUAAAAAUUAGAUGUGAGAGUAAGUUAGUUUAUAUUUCCUAAGGUUUAAUGUAAUUACACCAAUGUUACCUUUUUUUUUCUAUGUUAUACUUUAACUUAUAAUAAUCCUUUCCAUUAUUAUAAACUUUUUAAAAAUUACAUAUUUUUCAAAUUAUGCACUAAUAAGACGCAUGGUGAAUAAUAAGCAGUGUAGAUUGUGUAAAUAUAUGAGCUUCCAUUUUAUUUAUUUUAGUUUGUGUGACAGAUGAACAUUAUUAGCAGGAAAAAGAAGAAUGAGACUGUCACAGUGAAGGUGGUUUUUGGAGUCUAGAGGAUCUUGUUGAGGACGAUGUUGGAACGUUCAGAUUUUUGGUCCUUAAGAUUGAUGAACUUGGAAGAAAAAGACCAAGAGAGGACGUCGUGCGUUUCAUAGCUCCAUUGAUAAGCCCCUGAGGUGGCAGAGAACCCAACGCUCACCCAGUCGUAAACUUCUUUCUCCAGCUCCACUGUGGUAGAGACGUUGUUGCUCUUUCCCGUAGAAGGGUUUGACAGAGAAACCGAGAAGACCUUCGUGGAGGAGUUAUAGGUGAUCCGAACCUCGGCGUUUUGUCCGUCGUAGUCGUGUACAUCCCAAGGCACGCUUUUGAUAUCGUUGUUGUUCACGUCGAUGCUAAUACGGCUGAGGAAGGUGUCGAACUCCACAGUCACAGUAUCGCCUUUGGAUUCGGGCUGGACGGGGACGAGAACAAAGUCAAGGCCAACGGCGGAAUUUGCUUGGCGGUGAGUGCGGAUAUUCAUUGUGAAGUUGGUGUCGAAGCUGGCGACGUUGCCGGUGGUGCUGUCCCUGAUUUGGAUGGGGGCGGAGUAGAAGGCUCUGCUCAUAGAGUCGUAUGAAUUAUAGGAUAGUUGUAAGUUGCCGUUGGAUGAGACGGUGGCAUCGCCUUGAAGGAUAAGGUUGGUUUUGUUGAACGCAUCGAUGAUGAAGGAGGUUUCGGUGGCUGAGUUUGCGUGGCUGAGAAGCGCAAGGAAGAGGGCUAGGGAGAGUAACUUGGAGGAAGCCAUGAUCAUGCAUUCAUGCAUUAACCAUCACUCUCUUCUCUAUUUAUACAACAACAAAUGCAAAAACUCUCUACUUUAUGCAUUUUUUUUUCUUUUAUUAUAUUAUUUGAGGGAGAAAUAAGAAUAUAAAAAAAAAUUAAGCAACGAUGGCAAUGCAUCCACGUCAUCAAAAACAAUGAAAAAAAUAUGAAAUAAUUAAUUUAAAUUUAGAGAGAGAUUUAUGGAGAGAAACACAUAGCAUUGAGAAGUGAAAGGAAGACACAUGUGAAGAGCAAGGAGCUGAGGUGGCUGCAUGCAUGCAUGCAUGGGCAGUGGUGUCUUAGUGGGAAGAGGAGAAAGCUGAGGUGGCAGCGUGCAUGCAUGCAUGGGCAGCGGUGUCAUAGUGUGAAAGCCGCAGUGGAAAGUGAGAGGAAGGUAGGUGUGAAGAGGGAGCUGAGGUGGCAGCGUGCAUGGCGAGUGUCGAAGCCGCCGCCACAGUGCAGAUGGUACAACUUUUGUCCAUCGUCGUCUUUCUCAUCCAAGUUCCUCUUUAUAAUAUCUUUUACCAAAUCAUAUUUUAAAAUAAAUUAUUUUAAAUUCAUUUUAGUUUUAAAUAAAGUAAUAGUAUAUAUAUAACAAUAUAGAAUGGGUAUCAUUUUCUAAUUUUAUAUUUUAUAAUAUUAAAAUAUAAUAAAUUUAAUUAUUAUUUAUUUUGAAUUGAAAAUUUAGAAAAAAUUGAAAUUUAAAAAAAAAUAAAGAACUCAAAUUUAACACUUCUGUAAAUAAUUUUUUUUUAAAAAAACUGUGAAUAUGUUCAAAUAAAUCCAUAAAUAUUAACUUUUAUUUGGUUUUUUAUUUAAAGAAUAAUUUAUUCUUACUAUUAUAUUUAAAAUUAGAGUUUUUAAUCUUUUUAUAUAUAGUAAAAUUUAUAAUAAUAUUUAUAUAUUAUUUCAAUAAAGUUAUAAUAGAGAAUUUUUUUCCGCUUCAAACUCUUGUUGUAAUUGUUUGUAUCAACAUGGCGUUCCUUGCUCUCCCGACUAUUCUCCUCUUCUAUUCAUCUAAGGAGUUCAUUCCAUUGAGGGGGUUGUGUCAAGGAGAUCCGUUAACACCAUUUUUGUUUCUAAUUGCGGUUGAAGGUCUAGCAUGUGUGUAUACGAGAAAUUUUUUACUAAUAGUUUAUUCCAACCCCUUGUCUAGUUGCACGAACACGACCACAAUGCUUAGGUCGUCCAAUUGCUUCAACCAAGACGACCUUAAGGAACAAAAUUACCUUGGGAUUCCAAGGAAUCCUACAAGAGACAAAAAUCAUAGCAGUUUUUAAUAUAGUGAAUGCUUUAAAAUAAAUGAAAAAAGGCUAAAAAAUAACUUGCAAUUUUUUCGAUGAUAACCCCUGAUUGCUCAAAACUUGGUGCACCCGACUUUCGAAGUCGAAAAUUGCAUUGACUCGGCUUCAAGAGUAAAAUCAGAAUUUUGAACUAUACUCUUUUCAUCCAUAGACUUCGAGUAAAAUAUACAAUUAUUCCCUUCGUAUGCUUUACAAGAAAUAACAUCAAGCUUCAAUCCAGUCAACUAGGUCAAGGUCUUUGAUGUUGUUGAAUACUUUAACACCUCGUCUUUAAACCAAGGCAUGAAAGUUCUAUUAUGUUCCAUCAAGACCCAUUUCUCUUCUUGUCUUAGGUUAUUUGCCUUCACAAUGACUUUAUGAGCUUCUAUGUAAGAUAUAACUUCAUUUGUGUUAUUCAAUAUAUACAAAUGUGUUUGCAAAACUUCUGAUCGAAAUUUGCUUACAAUAUUCACAUCACGUAAACAUUUACUUGUAGAACAUCCAUGGUGCCAUCACGUUUUGUAGAACGAAGGUGCCAUAAAUUAGCUGAAAGACCUAUUAAAUGAACUCCCAUUUUAUUUAUUAUAGUUUGUGUGACAGAUGAACAUUAUUAGCAGCAAAGAAGAGUGACUAUAAGUAGCGUUACUAUGAAAUUAUUUGGGAACAUUGUUUGGCCUAAAAAAAAAUGUUAAAGCAAAGUACAUAGUCGUAAAAUCAGAAUCAUGUGAUCAACGCAUCAGAUACUUGGAAGAAAUCUUUGAAUAUCUUAGGUGAAUGAACAUGCCGCUUAACCCAAAAAGUGUGCGCGUUCAGAUAUACAAGUUAUUGAGAUUUAUACUAACCCAUCGAAAUAUCCAGACAAAUGUGGGGCGAUGGCGAUAACAACAUGAUAAAAAAUACAAAAAGAGUAUAAUAGAGUAAACUCCAUGAUGGUAUUAUUUUGGAAAACUUUUCUUUAACAGUCCAAAGUUUGGAGUAAAAAACAAACAUUUGACAGCUCCUUUUAAUAAUAUAAUAAUAUAUGAACUUCCAUUUUAUUUAUUUUAUUUAAAAAUGAUUUUUUAACACUCGUAUUUACCUUUAACCCAAUAAAUAUUAAUAUUUUAAUUAUUAUUUUUUAUUAUAUUUUCAUUAAGGAAUUAAGGAAGUAGAGCAAAGAACACUGAGUGUAAGCUAUCAUCACCCUAUUUUAUUUUAUUUUCUGUGACAGACAAAGAGAAACAUUAUUAGCAGGAAAGAACACUGAGUGUAAGCAGUGAUUUAGUGUCACAGGGAAGGUGGAGAUUGAGUCUAGAGGAUUUGGUUGAGGGCGAAGUUGCCAAGAUUCAAAGCUUCAGAUGUGGUGCCAUCGGAGAGCUUGGAAGCAAAAGACCAAGAGAGGAUGUCGUUCGUUUCAACGUUCCCUUUAGUAAUCCCAGUGGUGGCAGUGAACCCAACGAUCACCCACUCGGGAAGAACGCUCUUCAGGUCCACUGUGUCAGAGACGAUGAAGCUUGUUUUCAGAGAAGGGUAAACCAGAGAAGCCACCAAGAGCUUCGUGGAGGAGUCAUAGGUGAUCAGAACCUCCGCGUUUUCUCCUUUGACAAAAUCCCACGUCGUCGUUUUGAUAGACUUGAUGGAGUUCACGUCGAUGCCAAUAUGACGCGGUUUGGGGUCCCAGUGAACGUUGUAGAGGGUGUCGAACUCCACAGCCACAGUAUGGGCAUUGCUGUCGUAUUUGUAGUUGUUGAACAGACCUAGAAGACCGCCUUUGUCUUUGGGCUGAGAGCCCACGGGGAGGAGAACAAAGGCAAGGCCAUCGGCGGGUCCUGAAUUGUUGGGAACGUCGAUAUUGAAUGUGAAGGAGGUGGCGAAGCUGGCCACGGCGCCGGUGGUGUUGUCCCAGAUUUGGAUGGGGGCGGAGUAGAAGGCACGGCCCAGAGAGCUCAACGUGGGUUCUCCGUUGUCAUUAACAUUGGUUAGUCGUAACUGGCCUUUGGAUGAGACGGUGGCAUCGCGUUGGAGGAUAAGGUUGGUUUCGUUGAACCUUUGGAAGCUGAAGGAGGUUUGGCUGGCUGAGUUUGCGUGGGUGAGAAGCACAAGGAAGAGGGCUAGGGAGAGUAAGUUGGAGGAAGCCAUGUAUGCAUUCAUGCAUUAACCAUCACUCUCUUCUCUAUUUAUACAACAACAACUGCACUCUCUCUCUCUACUUUAUGGAUUCUUUUUUCUUUUAUAAUAUUAUUUGAGGGAGUAAUAAGAAUAUAGAAAUAACAAUUAAGCAACGAUGGCAAUGCAUACACGUCAUCAAAUACAUUGAAAAAAUAUGAAAUAAUUAGUUUAAAUUUAAAGAGAUAUUUAUAGAGAGAAGCGGUUGGCACGUAGCAUUGGAAAACACGGGUGAAGAGGAGGGAGCUGAGGUGGCCGCAUGCAUGCAUGCAUGGCCAGUCGUGUCAUAGUGAAAAGAGGAGAAAGCUGAGGUGGCAGCGUGCAUGCAUGCAUGCAUGGCCAGUGGUGUCAUGGUGUCAAAGCUGCAGUGGAAAGUGAGAGGAAGAUACGUGUGAAGAGGAGCGAGCUGAGGUGGCAGCAUGCAUGCUGCAUGCUGACUGUGAAACCCGCCACAGUGCAUAUUGUACUAACAAAGGGGUGUGACUACUUCUGGAUCUAGGCCGAGUCACUUGCGUCCAUUUUCGCCAAGUAUUGUGUGUCGCACACAAUAAUAAGUUGGCAAUUCAUCGACCGAAGGCUGCAGUCUUUUUACGAUGACCUCAUAAUCAAAUCCAUAACAGUCUUGGUCGAACACCCCAGAGGAACAAACAGGCCUAGGCUACCAAUAAUGUGUAAAUGAACUCAAGAAGCGGCUCAGCAGGUUAAAAGGCCGAUGGACUGAAGAAAUGUUAGAAGUCUUGUGGGCAUACCACUGCACCCCCGGACAACCAUGCAAGAAACAUCGUACAACCUGACGUAUGGCACGGAAGCAAUGAUACCGGUCGAGGUAGGUGAGCCUACCAUCCGAUGACAGUUGUUUGACCUGACCCUGAAUGAAGAGAGUCUAUCGGUUAGCCUGGACUUGGUCAGCAAACUUCAUGACAAGAGCAAAAUUCGAGAGGCGGCGUGCAAGCUUCAGGCGGCAACACGCUACAAUACAAAGGUCUGAGAUGUUUUUUCGUAUUACUUAAUUUCUAUCCAUCAUUAUUAUAUAUAAUUUUAUAUAUGGUUAAUGUUUUAAGAAUCUGUAAAAAUAUUUUUUCGUAUUACUUAAUUUCUAUCAAUCAUUAUUAUAUAUAAUUUUAUAUAUGAUAAUAAAAAAAUGUGUCUAAUUUUAUUUAAUAUUUAAUAUUUUAAGAAUCUGUAAAAAUAUUUGUUCUUUAACAUAAUCCAUACACAAUUAUCCAAUUUUUUGUUCUUUAAAACUAACACUCUUAAAAAAUUAUAUAUAAAAUUAAUUUUUAAAAUUACAUAACUUACUACCCAAUAUAUAAACAAUAAAAUUAAAAAAUAAAAAUUAUGACGUGGCAGAAGUCGUGUCAACUUGGCACGACUUUUGUAUGACAAGGCAAAAGUCGUGCCAAGUUGGUACGACUUCAGUAUGACGGGGCAGAAGUCGUGCCAAGUUGGCACGACUUCAGUAUGAUAGGGCAGAAGUCGUGCCAAGUUGGCACGACUUUAGUAUGACAUGGCAUAAGUCGUGCCUAACUGGUACGACUUCUGCAUAUGAAGUCGUCCCAAUUAGGCACGACUUGCCUAAAUUUAUAAUUUUUUUUAAACGGGCACCAUUUUGGUAAAAAAAAAAAAUAACCCCAUCAUGGUCAAUAAACCGUGAAACCUGCCACAGGGCACAACGCCAUUAUGCAGAUAAUGUUAAGAAGUGUACCAAUUAAUCUAUCACACAUUCUUCUCAACAUUGAUUUUUAAACUCGACCAAUACAGAAGAUCAAAGAAGAUUGAUUUUUUCUUCCAAAUAUUUUUCACAAAUGACUUUUUUUUUUUUACUUACUGAAGGUGUGAUCUAUGUUAUUUACCUUUUUUAUAAACCUCAACACCAGUUAAUGCAAUUGGUGGACCACUUGAUGGAGAUGUCCCUUCAUAGUUUUCAGAUUUUGUUGGUGAAUGGCGGAAGCAUCAUGGAUUGAAGACGAAGCAAGGUCCUCCUAAGAGUGGUGGUGACCUUGAAGGUGCAUGAGAGGUAGGGAUUGAGAGUGGUCAGGCCAACUCUACUUGGAAAGGGGAAAUUUGUGAAGAUUAAAAGCCUAACCUAAGAGGUUUAGGGCAAGAAGUGAAAUUGCCACAAUUUGGCAGCAAUUCACUAAGUAUAUUAAUCUUGAAUUUACAUGACCCAAGAACCUCAUUAUAUAGCAAGUGAGGGCUGGAUUUGACAAGAGAAUUGGAGGGAAAUUCAAAUGAAAAAGAAUUUGAAAUUGGCGCCUAUUUUACACUUAGCAUAUGGAGCACAUGAAGCAUAUUUAACAUGUGAUGGAAAACGUUUAGCACAUGUUAAAUAUGGAAUAUGUGGAAAAUGUGCCUUGGUUAAACAUAGCCGACCUUGGUUAAAAUUGGGUGUUUUAGAAAUCAUAAUUUAACCAAGGUUGGUUUUUAGGUGCCAAAUUUCAUUUAAGGAAAAAUUACAAAUAAAAUUUCUAAUCUAAUUUUGACAAGAAAUUAAAGUCUACUCUACACUAGAGUUUAUGGCAUUUGAACAUGUAAAAAAACGUCUUCUUGGAUCCUCUUGGCCAUAACUCUAGGGGUUGGCUUAAAUCUACCCUUUGGUGAGCUUACAUGUGGGCUUGUGCUUAGGCCUCUUCCAUCACCACUAGUCUCUUGGUGUCCAUUAAAGGCUUUUUUGAACCUCCGGUAAAGAUAAUGACUUUUAAGAAACCUCUGAUGCCAAAGAUAUACUGUAUUCCUUCCAUGUUUCAAUUGUUGAGAAGCAGUGUAUUCUUCGCAUAUUGGACAUGCUUUAUGACCCUUAACACUAUAAUAUACAAUCAUUAGGACAUGCAUGUAUCUUUUUAUACUCCAUACCCAUUGAACAAAGAAUCUUUUUGGCAUCAUAAUUACGAUUUGGUAGAGUAUUUCCUUCUGGAAGCAUAUCCUUCAACAACUGAAGCAAUUCUGUGAAGUUUUUAUCAGUCCAUCCAUUUAUUGCCUUCAAAUUCAUCAAUAUUAACAUCGUCGACAAUCGUGUGAAAUUAGUUGCUCCAGGAUACAAUGGAGUCUUUGCAUCGCUUGAAAUACUUCCAUAUUUAUGCACUUCUGCAAAAGACUGAGCUCCCACAUCAUGAAUCAUGUCCUUCAAUCGAUUGUCAUCUACAUCAUCAUGUACUUCAUCAUCCAUGGUGGACCCCACAUAUUCUUUAGUUACGGAAACAUGUGAUAAAUUUAACAAUUCACCAUGUCAUGUCCAAGUUAUAUAAGAUUUAAGAAACUCAUCACAUAGCAGGUGCUCCCUCAUUAUCAUAACAUCCAGUAUUCUUCAAUUUAAACAAUUAACGCACAAACAUCUGAUCUUUGCUCCAUCAUGACCACUAUUAAUCGUGUUAUGUUGUGCAAAUUGUAUAAAUUCUUCUACUCCUCUUUCGUACUCAUCACUUAUGCGAAGAAAAUUUAUCCAAUUUUGAUCCAUUAUAUUCUGAAAUAGUCAAUCAGGUGUUUUUUAAUCAAUGUUCUAUCUCACGCGUUUGUCAAGGGUCGAACACUCUCGGACUCAAUACCAACACGUAUCAAUUGUCGAGGGUGGAACACCCUCGGACUCAAUACAAAACACGAUAAUUCUAUUCAAAACUAACAACUAUCAUAAUAUAAAUACAAAUUAUAAUAAACACUAAAUAAUAUAAAUUUUAAAAAUACAAACUAUAAUAUAUAAAAAAAAUCAUAACAUUAAAUAAAAUUAAAAAAAAUAGAAAAUAUCACCAACGUUGUGUGUUAAGGCAAUGUUGGCCAAGAGUGACACGGCGAAGGCAGCUGACGCGGUGGUGAACACAGAAACAGCGACGGAACACACCAGAAACCAAAGAAAAACCCACGUAUAGAGAAGAAAGAAAAUAAGAAAGAGUGAGUGACACGCUUCCACGAAAGAAAAUAAGAAAGAGUGAGUGACACGCUUCCACGUAUAGAGAAGAAAAAAAAGAAGAAAGAAAAUAAGAAAGAGUAAGUGACACGCUUCUGAAACUAAGGUAAAAAUGAUUUACGAAUGCGACUAUUAGCCACACUCGUAACUCAAGCGCUUUGAUUUACAAGUGCGGUAAAACCAUGUAAAUUUAUUUUUAGAGUGGUGGUGAUAAACUUAAAUCGAUUUGAAAUGGAUAGAGUUACAAUUUUUUUUUAUCGACAAUAGAUAAAGUUAAAAAAUAAAAAGAAAAAUACAAAAAAAAUAUUAAAUAAUGUUAAAAAUAAAAAUAAAGAAAUUUAAAUAAAAAUUAGAUGAGAGAGUAAGUUAGUUUAUAUUAUUUCUUUAGUGAUUUAAUAACUGCAAAAAGAAGAGAGUAAAUUUAAGUAAUAUUUACUAAGGUUUAAUGUACUUUAAUCUAUGUUAUACUUUAACUUAGAAUAAUCCUUUUCAUUACUAUAAACUUUUUAAAAAUUACAUUAUGUACUAAUAACACGUGUAAACUCUAUUUUGGAAAACUUUUCUUUAACAGUCAAAGUUUGGAGUAAAACACAAACAUUUGACAGCUCCUUUUAAUAGUAUAAUAAUAUAUGAGCUCCCAUUUUAUUUAUUUUAUUUUCUGUGACAGAGAAACAUUAUUAGCAGGAAAGAACACUGAGUGAAAGCAGUGUUUUAGUGUCACAGGGAAGGUGGAGUUUGGAGUCUAGAGGAUUUUGUUGAGGACCAAGUUGGCGAGAUUCAAACCUUCAGAUGUGGUGCCAUCGGAGAGCUUGGAAGCAAAAGACCAAGAGAGGACGUCGUUCGUUUCAACGUUCCCUUUAUUAAUCCCAGUUGUGGCAGAGAACCCAACGCUCACCCACUCGGGAAGAACGCUCUUCAGGUCCACUGUGUCAGAGACGAUGAAGCUCGUUUUCUGAGAAGGGUAAACCAGAGAAGCCACCAAGAGAUUCGUGGAGGAGUCAUAGGUGAUCAGAACCUCGGCGUUUUCUCCGUUCACAAAAUCCCACCGCGUCGUUUUGAUAGACCUGAUGGAGUUCACGUCGAUGCCAAUAUGACGCUCUGUGGGGUCCCAGUCCUUGUUGUAGAGGGUGUCGAACUCCACAGCCACAGUAUGGAAAUUGCUGUUGCUGCCGUCGAAAAGACCUAGAAAACCCCCUUUGUCUUUGGGCUGAGAGCCCACGGGGACGAGAGCAAAGGCAAGUCCAUCGGCGGGUCCUGCAUUGUUGGGAACCUGUAUAUUGAAUGUGAAGGAGGUGGCGAAGCUGGCCACGGUGCCGGUGGUGUUGUCCCAGAUUUGGAUGGGGGCGGAGUAGAAGGCGCGGCCCAGAGAGCCCACCCUGGGUUCUCCGUUGCCAUUAAGAUUGGUUAGUCGUAACUGGCCGGAGGAUGAGACGGAGGCAUCGCGUUGGAGGAUAAGGUUGGUUUCGUUGAACCUUUGGAAGUUGAAGUAGAUAUCGUUG
This 37023-nucleotide long non-coding RNA is filed under the name Phaseolus vulgaris (common bean). Its description in RNAcentral is "long non-coding RNA (PVUL_LNC003696)". The record is from RNAcentral. Lineage: Eukaryota; Viridiplantae; Streptophyta; Magnoliopsida; Fabales; Fabaceae.